RNAcentral lists this ribosomal RNA (270 nucleotides) under uncultured bacterium. RNAcentral describes it as "partial 16S ribosomal RNA". It matches the Rfam family "Bacterial small subunit ribosomal RNA", at positions 524 to 789 of the family's 1533-position model. The record is from RNAcentral.
UACGUAGGGGGCGAGCGUUGUCCGGAUUUAUUGGGCGUAAAGAGCUCGUAGGCGGUUCGAUAAGUCGGACGUGAAAUCUCCACGCUCAACGUGGAGGGGCCGUUCGAUACUGUCGUGACUCGAGUCCGGUAGGGGAGUGUGGAAUUCCCGGUGUAGCGGUGAAAUGCGCAGAGAUCGGGAGGAACACCCGUAGCGAAGGCGGCACUCUGGGCCGGUACUGACGCUGAGGAGCGAAAGCGUGGGGAGCAAACAGGGAUUAAGAAACCCCUG